UACGGAGGGCGCAAGCGUUGUUCGGAAUCACUGGGCGUAAAGCGCGUGUAGGCGGCCGGGCUAGUCGGAUGUGAAAUCCCGAGGCUCAACCUCGGAACUGCAUUCGAAACUGCCCGGCUCGAGUCCCGGAGAGGAUGGCGGAAUUCCCGGUGUAGGGGUGAAAUCCGUAGAUAUCGGGAGGAACACCAGUGGCGAAGGCGGCCAUCUGGACGGUGACUGACGCUGAGACGCGAAAGCGUGGGGAGCAAACAGG
This 253-nucleotide ribosomal RNA is filed under the name uncultured bacterium. Its description in RNAcentral is "partial 16S ribosomal RNA". It matches the Rfam family "Bacterial small subunit ribosomal RNA", at positions 524 to 776 of the family's 1533-position model. The record is from RNAcentral.